This 395-nucleotide unclassified non-coding RNA is filed under the name soil metagenome. Its description in RNAcentral is "partial contains 5.8S ribosomal RNA, internal transcribed spacer 2, and large subunit ribosomal RNA". The stretch from base 1 to 122 matches the Rfam family "5.8S ribosomal RNA", at positions 35 to 154 of the family's 154-position model. The record is from RNAcentral.
GAUGAAGAACGCAGCGAAAUGCGAUACUUGGUGUGAAUUGCAGAAUCCCGUGAACCAUCGAGUCUUUGAACGCAAGUUGCGCCCGAAGCCAUUAGGCCGAGGGCACGCCUGCCUGGGUGUCACACACCGUUACCCUCGCGCCAACGUCCAUCGUUGGCCGCGGCGCGGGGCGUGCGCUGACCUCCCGCGAGCGGGGUCUCGUGGUUGGUUGAAAAUCGAGUUCGCGGUCGAGGGUGCCGUGAUGAAAUGGUGGAUGGGCGACGCCCGAGGCCAAUCACGCGCGACUCUGUCCGGCUCGGACUCAUGGACCCCUUCGGCGUCUCCGGACGCUCUUGGCGAGACCUCAGGUCAGGCGGGGCUACCCGCUGAGUUUAAGCAUAUCAAUAAGCGGAGGA